This is a long non-coding RNA of Bubalus bubalis (water buffalo), 2559 nucleotides long. RefSeq lists it as uncharacterized. The transcript is spliced from 2 exons. The record is from RefSeq and is a predicted model, not a curated record. NCBI's taxonomy places the organism in Eukaryota, Metazoa, Chordata, Mammalia, Artiodactyla, Bovidae.
CCCUUCUCCAGGGAUCUUCCCAACCCAGAGGUGGAACCCCAUCUACUGCAUUACAGGCAGAAUCUUUACCAUCUGAGCCACCAGGGAAGCGCAUCUACAUAUAAAAUAGAAGAAUAUAAUGUUUCACUUUAACUGAUGCCUGGCCUAAAUUUCCAGUCAUACUAGCCAUUGUUUUAAAAUAUCCCUUAUGGGCAGAGACACUGUAACAUAUAUUAAAAUUAAACCAAUUUUCUUGUGAUUGUGAAUUGGUUUCAUAAAACAGCAUCCUAGGGACUGCUCCCCCACCCCCUAGUUAAAACAGUUAAUGUGCUCCAAAGUAAAUGAAAACAUAGUCUUCAAAGAUGAAAAUUUUGUAAAACCCUUAUUACUAAAGGGGUGAUUAUCCCCAUUUCUCCAUUUGACACCCGAACCUUGCCUGGCCUAAGAUUUGGGGGGAAAUUUAGGGCAUUCCAUACUGGAUGACUACUAAUAAUACUGCAGCUUCAUCGAUUAGAGCCCCCAGACUCAACAUCCAAUAUUGUCAAAACCACUAAUUCUGUUCAAUCAACAACUGGCACAUAUUUUGUUCUGUUCAGUGCGUAUGUCAACAGUCUCAUCUAAGAUAGCCUGCACUCCCAAAGGGACACAAUUCCCCCUUUCCAGGCUUCCCACAGGUACCCCAAGGGCUCAGCAUCUCCAUUGCAUACCCUCUGGGCAGACAAUGUCUUAGCCGCAUCCCCCUUUCUCCAGGAGCACAGGUAUUGAAACAGGAGCAGAACCCUAUGGUCCUUGCCCCCCAUGCCCCACCAUGUGCCUGCCUUUCUUCUAUCUGAGGCAAACUUCAGUCAAAGAAUGACUGCAAUCAAAGAAGUGAGAGAUGGGAAAGCAAAGGAAAAGAGUCAAAGGAGACUGAUAAUAAUGUAGUCAUUAAGCAUAGUUGAGGAUAUUUAGCUGUUUCUGAAGGGCUAUAAACAAUAUUCUGAGCCAUAUCCUGUGAGCCACCUUAUAGAUACCGAAGCACCAAGUGGAGAUGUGAUUUACAUGAUGGCUAGACUGCACCCAGGCCAUAAGCUGCCACUGUUUUCCUUGGGAAUGCAAUUUAUGUUGAAAAAUUGUUACAUGUUAGGAGGGACAGUCAAUAUACAAAGUACUCAAUAGCAAGUAGAUAUUUUUAACCUUGGUUAAUCAGACAACAAGUCUUAACAAAUUUUCUUUUUUCGUAUUUUCUAUAGAAAAUAUAGCAGCUGACUGUGCUGUUUCUGCAUAUAGCGACCCCCUCACACUUCUGCCUGGAAAAGCUCUUGCCCCACUGGUUGCCAGGAAGGGUUUGGGUGGGGGAGCGGUCAGUUGGCCUUUGGACAGGUGUCCACCAUCCUCCCCUCAGCCUGCCGGCGUCUGAAAUAAAGCCAACUUUCCUUCUUUCCACCAACCUGGCCGGUCUACUUGUUUGAGAGCAGAGCAGCCUGACCCACCACACUUCUUCCGGCAGCAGUGUGAGGUUUCAGGAUGACAUCCACCUUCAAGGAGAUGCAGUGGAAGCACGUUUCAUGUGCUAAGGACACAGACAUCUCAUACCUUCUAGUCCUUUCCUGGGGUUCUGAGGCAACACAGUGCUCAUGUACACAUCUUCCUUCCAUAUUAGAGUCAACAGACAGUCCCGUCAGUGCCCUCAGAGACUCCUGCACUCAAGAAGCUUCGGGAACUGUAUCUCCCACCAUGUGGAGUCUCUGCACGGCUUCUGAUGGCCACAACGUGCCCAAGGAUUCGGGUGCAAUGACACUACCCCUAGCAAGCUUUCUCAGCCCUCUCAAGACACAAGUACCUCCAUAUUUGAUUCUCACACACACAUAACCCAUAUUCCCAUGGUCCUGGUCCCCGGCUUCUCAGAGACCACCUCCAGAGCUCCAAACACACUUGGGUUAUUCAAAAAGGGAUAUGCAGCAGCUGGCUUGGCCCCACCCCACUCCCCACUUCCUGGAGCCCUUUUGUCUGAAAACCAGCAGAUCUCAGCUGUGGUUUGGCACGCCCCCUCAAACUUCCACAGUGCUUUAAAACCUGCACCCUGCGCGGUGCCUCUCCUCACUAGAAGAGCCGUGAACGACUUCAGCUUCUGUCUGUAGUGACCCUGGCCUCUCUGCAGAGACGCUCAGGCACCCCUACGAAUUAAGUCGCAGCCACCGCCUGAUCGAAAGCAAGGCGAUAUUCAUUAUGUUUUGCGAGAGAGCCAGAACGACUUCUUUUAUGCAAGACCUCCUCCUGUGCUUUCUAAAGCACCUUGUGUGGACUUAUCUCGAGGAGCAAUAUCUUGGAAGCUUGCUGAAUCUUUAGUUUUCUUUGAAAUGGGAAGCCUCGUCCCUCGCGAAUGCUCCCCGUGAAGGGCUGCAGAUGGUUAUUACGUCGCCAUGUUCUCCGCUUCACAUUCUUAUUUCUGAAUGCCACUGAUGAGACUCCUUCUUCUCGCAUCCCAAAACACCCUGUCCACACCCCACUCCCCCAACCCGUGGUGCCCUCCAUCUACAACUUAAAAAAAAAAAAUUGAAAGCUGAUACCCGAGUAAAAUAAAGAUAUAAGUAAAUGCAA